Long non-coding RNA from Cucurbita maxima (winter squash), 2161 nucleotides. RefSeq lists it as uncharacterized. NCBI's taxonomy places the organism in Eukaryota, Viridiplantae, Streptophyta, Magnoliopsida, Cucurbitales, Cucurbitaceae. The transcript has 5 exons. The record is from RefSeq and is a predicted model, not a curated record.
UAAUUUUUCCCCACACACCAACUUGAGGGGUCUGCACAGAUCUGCAAGAAAAGAAAAGGAAAAGAAAAGAAAAAGAGAGAGAGAAAGGAGGAGUUAGAGAUUUUAAGAAGGAGAAGGAGGGAAGGGCUCUCGAUCUCAGGUCUCUUAUCAGAUCUAUUCAGAGGAUCAAGAGGAGCGGUCUGAGCAUUUGGAUCGUUCGUUUCAAGUAAUUAACGGGUAAGAACGCGAGGUAAGUCUGCGACCUCGUUUGUUUCGCCAUAGAUCUAUAAGUUUCGGAUAAUUUAGGUCUUAAUAAUCUAGUUGUAAGGAUUUUUCCAAUUUUUCGGAGGAAUCGUGGCCAUAAUCGAAUUGGAAAAUGAAAUCGAUAAUCGUCAACCUCGAUAAGAAACUGAAUCUUUUCUAAUUUUCGAUCUCGUUGUCGGUAUCAAAAAAUGCAAGAAAAAUAUAUCUAGAUAGUUCGACUUGAGAUCUUGAAUUCUCGUGAAGGAAUCGAAUUCAUUCGAGUUACGGAUUGAAAGAUAGAAAAAUCCAAAUUAAAUAGGUUGGUGUGGAAUUCGACUGGAAUCUGUAAAUGGGAUGAACUCAGGCAAUCGGCGACGAACACGUGGCGGCCGAACAGGAGGGAGACGCGUACGACUGCGACCCAGAAACCCAAACCGGAAACCGACCCACGGUCCAACCCGAAACCUACUGCCAGUCGCUGCACGCCACGUGUCAUGUCCUGAAAAAUAGAAGGGUAAAUCUGCGUCCACCGAGGUUCGAAGCGUGCCUCUGCCCGGGUUGUGCCGUUUAAAAUGAUGGGUUAAACAUUUGGAGAUGGGUUGGGCCGUUUUAAACAUUGGGAAAAAAAUAAAAAAGUAGAUAACAAACCCUAACCUUUUAGUUUCUGCCGCCGCGAGAACGGAAGGAGACGACCCUUUGUCUGGUUCUUCAAUCACUUCAUCCUCUUUGCCGACAAACCUAUGCCUCGUUUGGUAGUAAUCACUCGUGUGCAUCAAGGUGUUCCUUGGCUCGGUCUCGUUAGUCCUCUCUUCCCAGAAUAAUGGUUGUGUUACUCUCUGCAGGUGAGGUCUAAGGGUUCGUUGGAGGCUGACGUUUUUGAAGUCGCCGGAGUUUGGGUUACGGUCGCCGUAAAACUUGGUGAAAUUCGUGGGAGGCUGUUUUCCAAGUCGCCGGAGUACUCGCCGGAAAACUUCGGUGAGGCCUAAGGGUUUGGAGACUGACGCAUUCGAAGUCGCCGGAGUUUGGGUUACGCUCGCCGGAAAACUUUGGUAUUAUCCAUCUUUUUCAAUUUUUCUUUCUUCUCUGUCUGUCUUUGUCUCUUUUGUCUUAUGAAAAUGACAUCUAACCUCUCAUUUACAAAAGGUAGAUGAGAGUGAUGUUUAACUGAUUGGGUUUACAAAUUGAAUUGAGAGUGAUGUUUAACUCCUUAUUUACAAAUGUGAAUGGACAGUGACAUAUAACAUUUUCUUUGCUAUAAGGAGAAAUACACAUUAUUUCCCCUCUUCCAUUUUCCUCUCUUCUCUUUCCUAUAUAAGUGUAAAUUGAAGUGUGUAAGAAACACACCUCAAUCUGCACCUCUCAAUCUGCUCUCAAUCUGCUCUCAAUCUGCUCUCAAUCUGCUCUCAAUCUGCUCUCAAUCUGCUCUCAAUCCUGCUCUCAAUCUCGCUCUCAAUCUCGCUCGUUUAAGUUUCAAUCUCUGCAACUCCAUACGUCUUCAAAAUGUCUAGCCUUUUCAUCCUCUUCUUUAUUACAUUUUUUUGUACUACAUCCUCCAUCCUCCUGUAGUUGCAUUUCUUAUAAUGCAACCGUCUCAUUGGACGGGGAGGGAGAUUAUUUUAGCAGCGGCACCGAAUAACAGUAACUCCAGGUUUAACAUUCAUGUUAAACCUGGAAUGUAUUUUGAAUAUAUAAAAAUCGAAUCGUCGAAAACCUUCAUUACAUUGUGGGGUGAUGAUGCAUCUACCACAACUAUAGUAGGUAACCGAAGCCAGGCCACUGGCUUUGGAACAUCAGAUUCAGCCACCUUUGUUGUGGCUGCAAACAACUUUAUAGCUAUUUCUAUUACAUUUUCAAAUUCGGCUGGAGCUGGACCUAAACACUGCCAAGCAGUCGCUCUCCUAACGAGUGAUAAUGUAAAUUUAUUUGGAAACGCUCGUGC